This 512-nucleotide ribosomal RNA is filed under the name Stenotrophomonas maltophilia. RNAcentral's name for it is "bacterial LSU rRNA". It matches the Rfam family "Bacterial large subunit ribosomal RNA", at positions 2426 to 2925 of the family's 2925-position model. Lineage: Bacteria; Pseudomonadati; Pseudomonadota; Gammaproteobacteria; Lysobacterales; Lysobacteraceae. The record is from RNAcentral. RNAcentral also lists the same sequence under 1 other name.
GUUCUGUAUGGAAGGGCCAUCGCUCAACGGAUAAAAGGUACUCCGGGGAUAACAGGCUGAUACCGCCCAAGAGUUCAUAUCGACGGCGGUGUUUGGCACCUCGAUGUCGGCUCAUCACAUCCUGGGGCUGUAGUCGGUCCCAAGGGUAUGGCUGUUCGCCAUUUAAAGUGGUACGCGAGCUGGGUUCAGAACGUCGUGAGACAGUUCGGUCCCUAUCUGCCAUGGGCGUUGGAGAUUUGAGAGGGGCUGCUCCUAGUACGAGAGGACCGGAGUGGACGAACCUCUGGUGUUCCGGUUGUCACGCCAGUGGCAUUGCCGGGUAGCUAUGUUCGGAAGCGAUAACCGCUGAAAGCAUCUAAGCGGGAAGCGCGCCUCAAGAUGAGAUCUCCCGGGGCACAAGCCCCCUGAAGGAACCAUGUAGACUACGUGGUUGAUAGGUCAGGUGUGUAAGUACAGCAAUGUAUUGAGCUAACUGAUACUAAUGAUCCGUGCGGCUUGACCAUAUAACCUCA